Molecule: long non-coding RNA, 551 nt
Organism: Chinchilla lanigera (long-tailed chinchilla)
Lineage: Eukaryota; Metazoa; Chordata; Mammalia; Rodentia; Chinchillidae
Exons: 3
Source: RefSeq, a predicted model, not a curated record
GAGAAUGUGAAUAUGAUAGUUGAGUCCUUUCCCGUGAGAAAGUGAGAUCCCAGCAUAUAUCCCAGAAGGCCUCUGAGGUUGAUUUCGAGAUGCUGAGGCUCUGAGAGGACAUGCCAGUUCCUACCUGGGCAGCAGCGGCUUAGCAUCAGGAAAAGAAGCUUAAGCCUGGAACACAAGAGGCCACACUAAAAGAAGGAGAGACAUUGCACUUGAAUCUAGGAUCCAGCUACAUCUUUCCAGUCUCAGUGCAUCUUGCUCCUUUGUCUGAACAGCUCCACUGGAUUUCUGAGCUCUUGUCUACCUGGAUAACCACUGCAGAACCUGGCUCAAUGUGACUUCUUGGAGGCUUUCCAUAAAAGCAGUAAGAAAGAGGCCACAGACUAAGCAGGAGACUGUUGUUGCCUGAAGGAAAUGUCUAAUAACCAACAAUAGCUAAAUAUUACUCAGAGUUCAACUUUAAAAAAAAGAAAUAUCUCAAGUUUAAUCCUGCUCUUUCCUUAAUGACUGACUGGAUCCCAAGACUGAACAUGCUGGAAAGAAACAAAUCAUUC